GACGAACGCUGGCGGCGUGCUUAACACAUGCAAGUCGAACGGAAAGGCCCUGCUUUUGUGGGGUGCUCGAGUGGCGAACGGGUGAGUAACACGUGAGUAACCUGCCCUUGACUUUGGGAUAACUUCAGGAAACUGGGGCUAAUACCGGAUAGGAGCUCCUGCUGCAUGGUGGGGGUUGGAAAGUUUCGGCGGUUGGGGAUGGACUCGCGGCUUAUCAGCUUGUUGGUGGGGUAGUGGCUUACCAAGGCUUUGACGGGUAGCCGGCCUGAGAGGGUGACCGGCCACAUUGGGACUGAGAUGCGGCCCAGACUCCUACGGGAGGCAGCAGUGGGGAAUAUUGCACAAUGGGCGGAAGCCUGAUGCAGCAACGCCGCGUGCGGGGUGACGGCCUUCGGGUUGUAAACCGCUUUCGCCUGUGACGAAGCGUGAGUGACGGUAAUGGGUAAAGAAGCACCGGCUAACUACGUG
This 468-nucleotide ribosomal RNA is filed under the name uncultured bacterium. RNAcentral's name for it is "partial 16S ribosomal RNA". It matches the Rfam family "Bacterial small subunit ribosomal RNA", at positions 28 to 507 of the family's 1533-position model. The record is from RNAcentral.